AACACUUUCAAUUGGCUUUUCAUUGGAACUUCUGUUUUCGUGCUCCUUACUUCACUGGCAGGCUACUUACAAACACAGCUAUGGAAGGAUUCCUUGGCUGAAAACGACUGCACUGAUGGUGAGAUGGAACCAAACUUCCACUCAAGAAUGCAUUUUGAGCUUCUUUCCGGCGACCUGCUGUGAUGGCUACGUGUUUGCCUUAAACUGUUCAUUUUGGCGUAGCGAUGAGGGCUGUGUGUGGUGGCCAACUUACAGUGACAAAAAGAAAAAGUAAAUGGUGCCCCCCGUCGCACAAACAACAGCUUCUGUUUACUUCUUCACCACGUCUCUCCCCAUCUGUCUGCAGACUACAAGAUUAUUAAGAUUACUACAGUUUCACUCACAAAUCCCAAACCCCAAACUUCUGAACCCAAACAGUGCCCUUUUCUCACUUCAAAAUCAAAUACUAUACUCCUUAGAAGAAACCAUCUCGGACGAUGGAGUAUGAACAAAUUAGGGCUCUUCUCCGAAACCCAGAAAGCCAUUCAGAGAGGAAUCAAAUCAAAGAUCCAAACCUUCUAUCUGUCUGUCACGCGCGUGCGCACUCACACAAAACUCUCCCAUGGACAGACACUCGUACAACUCCCUAAUCAAAUUUGCAGACAAACAUCUUCUGCUAUAUCUGCCUAAUUUGCAGUGUAAACUGAGAAGAAAGCAGAAGGUUGCGUGCAGCUACAAAGAAAGGCUUCACAUUUCUGCAAUCAGGUGAAGAAGAUGAGACAUGACUGAUGAACAAAGUAAAGUCGUCACUAUAUAUAUAUAUAAUAACACAAUGGACAAGAAAGAAAGAGCCCUAAAUAAGCUCUACUAGCCAAUGUUCGUCAAAGGGUCUAGAUUAAUUUCUCUGUUUAGCCUUUUUCUUACCUAUGGGGAUAAUAUAUAUAAUAUAAAAAAUAUAGCUACAUAAACUUACCUCUGUUGUGUGAUCUAGGUCAUUUCCUUUUCCUUAGAAUCAAUUAAAAACAACAAAAAAAGGAAGUCCCUUUUACCUUUCCAGAGAGAGAGAGAGAGAGGUAGAGAUAUAAAACCCUUCUUCCUUUCCCUUUGAUAAACCAAAGUUACGAGUCACAGAGCUCUGCAAAGCUGUGUGAUGAAGCUGAAGCAAAACCCUAGGUGGAGCAAGAAGAUGAAGAAAGAAAGAGAGAGAUAGAGAAAUUUAGGGUUGCAUUGAGUGGAGGAUAGAUGGGAAAGAGUAUAUUUAGUGGAUGGGAAGAAGCAGGGAGAAGAGAAUGGAGGCAAAAGACAAGGAUAAUAAUAAAUGGUGGGUACACUAACUAAAGAAUGACUAUGACCCUGCAUCCAAUAAUAUUAUCAGAGAUGUGGGAUUGUCUCCCUUUUUUU
Long non-coding RNA from Cucurbita maxima (winter squash), 1380 nucleotides. RefSeq lists it as uncharacterized. The record is from RefSeq and is a predicted model, not a curated record. NCBI's taxonomy places the organism in Eukaryota, Viridiplantae, Streptophyta, Magnoliopsida, Cucurbitales, Cucurbitaceae. The transcript has 6 exons.